GACGAACGCUGGCGGCGUGCUUAACACAUGCAAGUCGAGCGGAAAGGCCACUUCGGUGGUCCUCGAGCGGCGAACGGGUGAGUAACACGUGAGUAAUCUGCCCUUGGCUUUGGGAUAGCCACCGGAAACGGUGAUUAAUACCGGAUACGACCACUCCAGGCAUCUGGUGGUGGUGGAAAGUUUUUCGGCCAGGGAUGUGCUCGCGGCCUAUCAGCUUGAUGGUGAGGUAAUGGCUCACCAUGGCUUCGACGGGUAGCCGGCCUGAGAGGGUGACCGGUCACACUGGGACUGAGACACGGCCCAGACUCCUACGGGAGGCAGCAGUGGGGAAUAUUGGACAAUGGGCGGAAGCCUGAUCCAGCAACGCCGCGUGAGGGAUGACGGCCUUCGGGUUGUAAACCUCUUUCGGUAGGGACGAAGCGCAAGUGACGGCACCUACUAAAGAAGCACCGGCCAACUACGUG
Molecule: ribosomal RNA, 464 nt
Filed under: uncultured bacterium
Lineage: Bacteria
Description: partial 16S ribosomal RNA
Rfam family: Bacterial small subunit ribosomal RNA
Source: RNAcentral